CUCGGCCAGUGCGCGGGACUGGCCGAGGAGGGAGAGGGAGAAGAUCAAGGCGCCAGCCACCAACCGGCAAGUUCAGUUUCAGUUUCAGACGAGGAAUGACUUGGAGGGUGGCUGUGUGCCGCUGGGGCCUUAUGGAUUUACGCUGUUCAGGACGAAGACACGGGCCGCGGGUGCCUAUGUGUGUAUGUGGUGGUGCAAACUUGGUGCCUGGCUGAGAGGGCCAGGGGCACAGGAGCUGCUGCUAAUGACGGUCAACAACAUUGUGAUAUAGCUGGAAAAGAUUGUGGAUGCGAGGCUGGUAUGCUGGGCUGGUGAGGAGCGCCGUAAGGUUGCUGGUGUAACCAACGGUGAUAACGAUGCCAAACAGAAGCCAACUAGUGAUGAAAAGCCUUAGAGCCGAGGAGCGGGGCAGGUCCGGGGUUCCCUGACCCACCAACAACCGUAAGAGAAAAAGUCCGUCUCUUCUCUCCAGCCACGGCUGUCCGAACAGUGUACCCUGCAGUCAUUGAUAAGGAAAACGUCCCCAAAGUUGGACGUAGCUCACCUCUCACUCACCUCCGCCGGCCACGUGGAAUAACACACGACCCUCUCUGUUUAACCGUCUGGAGUGACGGCGUCUGCAUCCAUCACCUCAUCCAUACUGUCCUUGGUGCCAAACCGUGCCUGAGACUGUUGAACAUUUGCUCCUGCAGUACCCUCGCUUUGCACACAAAUCCUUGCUCUGGGAGUAAAUAGUGUUGACCUGUGCACUCUAGUGGACCACUGGCCACCAGGCGCCGCGGUGGCAGGCGUCCGUCCACCCCUCAAGACAAUGGGCCGUCAUCCGCCGCACCUGUGCCUUCCCCAAGAGGUGAGAACAGGUACCACGCCAGUGAUGAUGCAGACACUUAGCAGGGCACACAUGGUCACAUUGAUCGUCACGGCCUUUUGACAUCAAACAACAGGCUCACCUCGGGUCAUCACUAGCAGACAUCUAUGGCUUCCAAGACUAUGCCCUGCCUUGAAACUCGAACAUGCCCGGGUCUUCCGGCAGAAGACUAAACGGCUCACCAGAAUGUAACCAAGUAACCUGUCUGCCACCAAUACCUUCGGGGCAAUAGUAUGUGACACCACACCCAGAAAGUCCUCAACUCCACAACGAGCACAAGAUUCAGAGGGUCACAACAGCUAAGACACCACUGGUAGACCUACUCCCCAAAUCGGGCACUGGACACAACAGUCACCAGACU
Molecule: long non-coding RNA, 1229 nt
Organism: Portunus trituberculatus (swimming crab)
Lineage: Eukaryota; Metazoa; Arthropoda; Malacostraca; Decapoda; Portunidae
Exons: 3
Source: RefSeq, a predicted model, not a curated record